UACGUAGGGUGCAAGCGUUGUCCGGAAUUAUUGGGCGUAAAGCGCACGUAGGCGGAUUUGUAAGUCAGGGGUGAAAUCCCGGGGCUCAACCUCGGAACUGCCUUUGAUACUGCAAAUCUCGAGUCCGGAAGAGGUGAGUGGAAUUCCUAGUGUAGAGGUGAAAUUCGUAGAUAUUAGGAAGAACACCAGUGGCGAAGGCGGCUCACUGGUCCGGUACUGACGCUGAGGUGCGAAAGCGUGGGGAGCGAACAGG
RNAcentral lists this ribosomal RNA (253 nucleotides) under uncultured bacterium. Its description in RNAcentral is "partial 16S ribosomal RNA". It matches the Rfam family "Bacterial small subunit ribosomal RNA", at positions 524 to 776 of the family's 1533-position model. The record is from RNAcentral.